Molecule: transfer RNA, 75 nt
Filed under: Pseudomonadota bacterium
Lineage: Bacteria; Pseudomonadati; Pseudomonadota
Also listed under: 1 other name
Description: tRNA-His
Rfam family: tRNA
About the family: Transfer RNA (tRNA) molecules are approximately 80 nucleotides in length. Their secondary structure includes four short double-helical elements and three loops (D, anti-codon, and T loops).
Source: RNAcentral
GCGGGCGUAGCUCAGCAUGGUGAGAGCACCAGGUUGUGGCCCUGGGGGUCGUGGGUUCGAAUCCCAUCGCCCGCC